Molecule: ribosomal RNA, 301 nt
Filed under: uncultured bacterium
Lineage: Bacteria
Description: partial 16S ribosomal RNA
Rfam family: Bacterial small subunit ribosomal RNA
Source: RNAcentral
CAGCAGCCACGGUAAUACGUAGGGUGCGAGCGUUAAUCGGAAUUACUGGGCGUAAAGCGAGCGCAGACGGUUACUUAAGCAGGAUGUGAAAUCCCCGGGCUCAACCUGGGAACUGCGUUCUGAACUGGGUGACUAGGGUGUGUCAGAGGGAGGUAGAAUUCCACGUGUAGCAGUGAAAUGCGUAGAGAUGUGGAGGAAUACCGAUGGCGAAGGCAGCCUCCUGGGAUAACACUGACGUUCAUGCUCGAAAGCGUGGGUAGCAAACAGGAUUAGAUACCCCGGUAGUCCCUGUCUCUUAUAC